GCAUAUCAAUAAGCGGAGGAAAAGAAACCAACAGGGGAUUGCCCUAGUAACGGCGAGUGAAGCGGCAACAGCUCAAAUUUGAAAUCUGGCUCUAUUUUGGAGUCCGAGUUGUAAUUUGUAGAGGGCGCUUUGGCGUCGGCAGCGGUCUAAGUUCCUUGGAACAGGACGUCACAGAGGGUGAGAAUCCCGUAUGUGGUCGCGUGCCUUCGCCGUGUAAAGCCCCUUCGACGAGUCGAGUUGUUUGGGAAUGCAGCUCUAAAUGGGAGGUAAAUUUCUUCUAAAGCUAAAUACUGGCCAGAGACCGAUAGCGCACAAGUAGAGUGAUCGAAAGAUGAAAAGCACUUUGGAAAGAGAGUCAAAAAGCACGUGAAAUUGUUGAAAGGGAAGCGCUUGCAGCCAGACUUGCCUGCGGUUGCUCAUCCGGGCUCUCGCCCGGUGCACUCUUCCGUAGGCAGGCCAGCAUCAGUUUGGGCGGCUGGAUAAAGGCCUCUGUCAUGUACCUUCCCUCGGGAAGGCCUUAUAGGGGAGGCGUAAUGCAGCCAGCCUGGACUGAGGUCCGCGCAUUUGCUAGGAUGCUGGCGUAAUGGCUGUAAGCGGCCCGUCUUGAAACACGGACCAAGGAGUCUAACAUCUAUGCGAGUGUUUGGGUGUCAAGCCCGGGCGCGCAAUGAAAGUGAACGGAGGUGGGAACCCUUUGCGGGGUGCACCAUCGACCGAUCCUGAUGUCUUCGGAUGGAUUUGAGUAAGAGCAUAGCUGUUGGGACCCGAAAGAUGGUGAACUAUGCUUGAAUAGGGUGAAGCCAGAGGAAACUCUGGUGGAGGCUCGCAGCGGUUCUGACGUGCAAAUCGAUCGUCAAAUUUGGGCAUAGGGGCGAAAGACUAAUCGAACUAUCUAGUAGCUGGGUUCCUGC
This 911-nucleotide small RNA is filed under the name Medicopsis romeroi. RNAcentral describes it as "eukaryotic LSU rRNA". It matches the Rfam family "Eukaryotic large subunit ribosomal RNA", at positions 38 to 962 of the family's 3401-position model. The record is from RNAcentral. Lineage: Eukaryota; Fungi; Ascomycota; Dothideomycetes; Pleosporales; Neohendersoniaceae.